This 254-nucleotide ribosomal RNA is filed under the name uncultured bacterium. Its description in RNAcentral is "partial 16S ribosomal RNA". It matches the Rfam family "Bacterial small subunit ribosomal RNA", at positions 524 to 777 of the family's 1533-position model. The record is from RNAcentral.
UACAGAGGUCCCAAGCGUUGUUCGGAUUCAUUGGGCGUAAAGGGUGCGUAGGCGGCGCGGUAAGUCGGGUGUGAAAUCUCGGGGCUUAACUCCGAAACUGCAUUCGAUACUGCCGUGCUUGAGGACUGGAGAGGAGACUGGAAUUUACGGUGUAGCGGUGAAAUGCGUAGAUAUCGUAAGGAAGACCAGUGGCGAAGGCGGGUCUCUGGACAGUUCCUGACGCUGAGGCACGAAGGCCAGGGGAGCAAACGGGG